RNAcentral lists this ribosomal RNA (110 nucleotides) under Lepisosteus oculatus (spotted gar). The record is from RNAcentral. Lineage: Eukaryota; Metazoa; Chordata; Actinopteri; Semionotiformes; Lepisosteidae.
GCCAGCAGCCAUAUCACUCUGUAACUCAUAACUGGCAACCCACUGAAGGUGUGAGCCUGGUCAGUACCUGAAUGGGAGACCCCCUGGGAAAACUAAGGUUGCUGCUGGAA